RNAcentral lists this ribosomal RNA (484 nucleotides) under uncultured bacterium. RNAcentral describes it as "partial 16S ribosomal RNA". It matches the Rfam family "Bacterial small subunit ribosomal RNA", at positions 899 to 1397 of the family's 1533-position model. The record is from RNAcentral.
ACUCAAAUGAAUUGACGGGGACCCACACAAGCGGUGGAGCAUCUGGUUUAAUUCGACAAUAAGCGAAGAACCUCACCAAGACUUGACAUCCCGAGAAGUCUGCCGAAAGGUGGAUGUGCCGUAAGGAACUCGGAGACAGGUGCUGCAUGGUUGUCGUCAGCUCGUGCCUUGAGGUGUUCGGUUAAGUCCGUAAACGAGCGCAACCCAUGUCAUAAGUUGUAUUUUUCUUAUGAGACUGCCGGCUCUAAGUCGGAGGAAGGUAUGGAUGACGUCAAAUCAGCAUGGCCCUUAUGUCUUGGGCGACACAGGUGCUACAAUGGCAUAUACAGUGGGACGCAAAUAGGUAACUAUGAGCUAAUCUCCAAAAUAUGCCUCAGUUCGGAUUGAGGGCUGCAACUCGCCCUCAUGAAGCCGGAAUCGCUAGUAAACGUGAAUCAGCCACGUCACGUUGAAUAUGUUCCUGGGUCUUGUACACACCGCCCGU